Molecule: small nuclear RNA, 142 nt
Filed under: Suricata suricatta (meerkat)
Lineage: Eukaryota; Metazoa; Chordata; Mammalia; Carnivora; Herpestidae
Description: U2 spliceosomal RNA (ENSSSUG00005006303.1)
Rfam family: U2 spliceosomal RNA
About the family: U2 is a small nuclear RNA (snRNA) component of the spliceosome (involved in pre-mRNA splicing). Complementary binding between U2 snRNA (in an area lying towards the 5' end but 3' to hairpin I) and the branchpoint sequence (BPS) of the intron results the bulging out of an unpaired adenosine, on the BPS, which initiates a nucleophilic attack at the intronic 5' splice site, thus starting the first of two transesterification reactions that mediate splicing.
Source: Rfam by way of RNAcentral
AUCGCUUCUCGGUCUUUUGGCUAAGGUCAGGUGUAGUAACUGUUCUUAUCACUUUAAAAUCCAGCAAAAUUCUAUCUCUUCUCUGUCAGUAUGAGGUACUUCUUGGAUGAAGACUUCAUUCAAGUGUUUCUUAGCAACUCUA